GCUUGUGACCAGACCACCCUGAACAUGCCUGAUCUUGUCUGAUCUCGGUAGCUAAGCAGGGUCGGGCCUGGUUAGUACUUGGAUGGGAGACCGCCUGGCAAUACCAGGUACUGUAAGCU
RNAcentral lists this ribosomal RNA (119 nucleotides) under Hucho hucho (huchen). The record is from RNAcentral. Lineage: Eukaryota; Metazoa; Chordata; Actinopteri; Salmoniformes; Salmonidae.